Molecule: ribosomal RNA, 250 nt
Filed under: uncultured bacterium
Lineage: Bacteria
Description: partial 16S ribosomal RNA
Rfam family: Bacterial small subunit ribosomal RNA
Source: RNAcentral
UACGUAGGGGGCAAGCGUUGUCCGGAUUUACUGGGUGUAAAGGGCGCGCAGGCGGAAUAUCAAGUCAGAGGUGAAAUCCUACAGCUUAACUGUAGAACUGCCUUUGAUACUGUUAUUCUUGAGUUCGGGAGAGAGAGACGGAAUUCCAGGUGUAGUGGUGAAAUACGUAGAUAUCUGGAAGAACACCAGUUGCGAAGGCGGUCUCUUGGUCCGAUACUGACGCUGAGGCGCGAAAGCGUGGGGAGCAAAC